UGGGGAAUCUUGCGCAAUGGGCGAAAGCCUGACGCAGCAACGCCGCGUGGGGGACGACGGCCUUCGGGUUGUAAACCUCUUUCAGCGGGGACGAAGUCGGCACGGUGAAUAGUCGUGUCCGGUGACGCUACCUGCAGAAGAAGCCCCGGCUAACUACGUGCCAGCAGCCGCGGUAAUACGUAGGGGGCGAGCGUUGUCCGGAAUCAUUGGGCGUAAAGCGCGUGUAGGCGGCUUGGUCAGUCCGGCGUGAAACCUCGGGGCUCAACCCCGAGCCUGCGUUGGAUACUGCCUCGCUUGAGUCCGGGAGGGGAGAGCGGAAUUCCCAGUGUAGCGGUGAAAUGCGCAGAUAUUGGGAAGAACACCGGUGGCGAAGGCGGCUCUCUGGAACGGUACUGACGCUGAGACGCGAAAGCGUGGGGAGCAAACAGG
RNAcentral lists this ribosomal RNA (429 nucleotides) under uncultured bacterium. RNAcentral describes it as "bacterial SSU rRNA". It matches the Rfam family "Bacterial small subunit ribosomal RNA", at positions 355 to 776 of the family's 1533-position model. The record is from RNAcentral.